Molecule: ribosomal RNA, 198 nt
Filed under: uncultured bacterium
Lineage: Bacteria
Description: partial 16S ribosomal RNA
Rfam family: Bacterial small subunit ribosomal RNA
Source: RNAcentral
ACUCCUACGGGAGGCAGCAGUAGGGAAUCUUCCGCAAUGGACGAAAGUCUGACGGAGCAACGCCGCGUGAACGAUGAAGGCUUUCGGGUCGUAAAGUUCUGUUGUUAGGGAAGAACAAGUGCUAGUUGAAUAAGCUGGCACCUUGACGGUACCUAACCAGAAAGCCACGGCUAACUACGUGCCAGCAGCCGCGGUAAU